GCAGUUCUCAGCAUCAGGUUCAAACUCAACCCGAGCCUCCCAAGCUCUUGUGGGAGCGGCGGGGACAGAAGGGUUCACCUCUGCUCCACACCAAGCCUGUCCUAGGGAGGAAGUCCAUCCGCCUGACCCUGCAGCCUCAGGAGUCCCAAGGCCCUGUGGGCUUCACCUCCUCUGCCAGACUCACUCCUCUCCCGCUGCCAGGACCCAGGGCUGCUCCUCGGGGUCUCCUUGUGUGCUGCUCCCUCUGCUGCAAAUGCCCUCUUCCUGGCCCCUGCACGUCUUGGCCUGCAAGUCACCUCUUUGGUGAGGCCUUCCUGGACCUGUCCCCCCCAAGUGAGCCCCUGCUGGAGGCUUUACUGAGGGGCUCUUCCAGCCCUGUGAAGCCCACAGCGCUUGUGUAGCUGCGUUUCACGACUGCUCCGCCGACACCCGGCCACCUGUCAAAUAAAUGAACAGCUCUGCUGACACACAUGGCUAUGGGACCUGCAGGAAGCUCUCCGGGGAGAAGGCCUCUGGAGGAUGAGGACUAUAGCCACCCCAGAAGCCCACUGGUCACACACGCUCAGAUGCUCAUAUUCACAUCCACGUGCACACAGAGCGGAAAGACAGCAGACCAGGGAAAAGAGGAGGAAGCAGGAUCUCACUGAGUCACUAAAUCACCCAGACUGUACUUGAACUUUUGGCCUUCCUGCUUCAGCGUCCCAGAGUGCUGGGGGCUGAAAUUUUAAUGCCUGGUUUGGGACCAGGUUCAGGAUACUGGUCCUUCUGUUGUCAUGAAUUCAAACCUGAGCUCCCAAUGUGAAGGUGGGUGUCAGAACCCAUUACAGGAACAGAAUUCCUCAGCUGUCAGCCUGGGAUCACCACAGGAGUAGAGGUACCUUCCAGGCCUUGGCUGGAAUAAAGGACAUUACACCAGGCCAGAGCCUCAAGCCUAUAACCUACACCGGUGCAAGGUCCAGAUGUAAGCUGCCUGCACAGUGCAGAAAUUGUCAGCUGAAGCAUUGCGUAAAAACAAUUUGGAGUUACCGAGCCUGCAGGGAGCUCACAGAUCAAAAUUGUGAAUCACAUAAAAAAUGUGUAUACCGUGAUAGACAGCACACAGACCCAGCAUAUGGAAGAAUUCACACCUGAGGAAUUAGAAAUGAUACCAACUAUGACUCCAACCAGGCCAUGGCUACAGGAGGCACUCAUGAACCAAGCAGCAAUGAGACAGGCCUGUUCAUGGCACCUGGCCAUUGCUGACAGGAGAGGAGGCAUUGAUCAAGAGGAUAGGAAGUGACAGAACCAUUUCAGCAAGGAAGUGUAGUUGAGCACUGACAUCGGAUUGUGUAAACUAUGAGUGUAUUCUGUG
RNAcentral lists this long non-coding RNA (1351 nucleotides) under Heterocephalus glaber (naked mole-rat). RNAcentral's name for it is "lncRNA (ENSHGLG00000047284.1)". The record is from RNAcentral. Lineage: Eukaryota; Metazoa; Chordata; Mammalia; Rodentia; Bathyergidae.